UACGUAGGGUGCGAGCGUUAAUCGGAAUUACUGGGCGUAAAGCGUGCGCAGGCGGUUUUUUAAGACAGGCGUGAAAAUCCCCCGGGCGUCAACCUAGGGAACGUAGCGUUUGUUGACUGCGAGGCUAGAGUACGGCAGAGGGGGGUAGGAAUUCCACGUGUAGCAGUGAAAUGCGUAGAGAUGUGGAGGAAUACCGAUGGCGAAGGCAGCCCCCUGGGUUAGUACUGACGCUCAUGCACGAAAGCGUGGGGAGCAAACAGGAUUAGAUACCCGAGUAGU
This 279-nucleotide ribosomal RNA is filed under the name uncultured bacterium. RNAcentral describes it as "partial 16S ribosomal RNA". It matches the Rfam family "Bacterial small subunit ribosomal RNA", at positions 524 to 794 of the family's 1533-position model. The record is from RNAcentral.